Molecule: ribosomal RNA, 446 nt
Filed under: uncultured bacterium
Lineage: Bacteria
Description: bacterial SSU rRNA
Rfam family: Bacterial small subunit ribosomal RNA
Source: RNAcentral
UGGGGAAUCUUGGACAAUGGGCGCAAGCCUGAUCCAGCCAUGCCGCGUGAGUGAUGAAGGCCUUAGGGUUGUAAAGCUCUUUUUGCCGGGGACGAUAAUGACGGUACCCGGAGAAUAAGUCCCGGCUAACUUCGUGCCAGCAGCCGCGGUAAUACGAAGGGGACUAGCGUUGUUCGGAAUCACUGGGCGUAAAGCGCACGUAGGCGGAUUUGUAAGUCAGGGGUGAAAUCCCGGGGCUCAACCUCGGAACUGCCUUUGAUACUGCGGAUCUCGAGUCCGAUAGAGGUGAGUGGAAUUCCUAGUGUAGAGGUGAAAUUCGUAGAUAUUAGGAAGAACACCGGUGGCGAAGGCGGCCCACUGGAUCGGUACUGACGCUGAGGUGCGAAAGCGUGGGGAGCAAACAGGAUUAGAUACCCCGGUAGUCCCAGCGGGCUGGCAAGGCGCAU